GGCAAUCCCAAACAUCACAGAAGCUUUAGGGAUAGGCUUUCCUGGGGAGCCUGAAGACCCACCCCCUCACAGCACAGAGGAAAAGUGAGUGAGGAUGUCUACUGAGCACUUUCUAGAUGUUGUGAGAGACAAAAGAAGCACCUUGGGAGAUAAGACACAGCCCUUAAUAAUAACAGCAGCAGCAAGGCCAUUCAUGCAAAGGGGAACACAUGGAUUGCCACAACCCCAUUGGAAGCAUUUUUCCUUCUGUCAUCAGUAUCACGCUCUGUGGAGAGCCUCUUCCAGCCUCCAGAGGACAGGUUUUACAGGUUGCCGAGGAACUGGAUUGAUUUUGGAGAGCCUUGAAUGCCAUGUGGAGUUUGGACUUGAAGCUGAGAUUUUAAACAAUCCCGUGCUGCUGCUGACCCCAUGUUAGAUUUGCCUUGCCAUGUGAAAAAGAGCAACAUCCCACACUUGCCCGUCCUGCGCCCUUUCUUGCUUGAAGCUACAGCAACUCGCAAAACCUGUCAUCUGUCCUGGGCUGCAAGAGGCUUUGACUUUGCCUGUGCGUGGCCCCUGGAAGUCCAGAUGUUUUCACUGCAGGGGAAGGAGCUCAUUUGGGAAAAAAAAAAAAAAAAAAAAUCCAAUUGUUUGUAAUGUGAUGCAAUUUUCUCUUGAAAUCAAUUAGCAUCUCCCUAAUUCCUCUGCAUACAAUUGCUUUCAAAAAUAAAUUCCAGGUUCCAUGUUUUUUUAUGCAUUUUAUUUUUAAACAGGUUCAGACUUUAGCUUUUAAGUAGCUUAGGAUCCCAAAGCACAAACUCCUUCCUCACCACAGAUGUGAGGAUUUAUAUGUGAAAUUCCAGA
This 843-nucleotide long non-coding RNA is filed under the name Capra hircus (goat). RNAcentral describes it as "lncRNA (ENSCHIG00010007148.1)". Lineage: Eukaryota; Metazoa; Chordata; Mammalia; Artiodactyla; Bovidae. The record is from RNAcentral.